Molecule: unclassified non-coding RNA, 915 nt
Filed under: Leishmania donovani
Lineage: Eukaryota; Euglenozoa; Kinetoplastea; Trypanosomatida; Trypanosomatidae
Description: gene:LdHU3.31.3400(CDS-product:hypothetical_prote in)
Source: RNAcentral
AGCUCUUCGAGCAGUGCAUUGAAAGGGAACACACCUCCUGCAGCUAAGCCUCUUGUCAACCGAGAGCUUAUACAACACACCCGCAUCUCCAUAUUGACCAGUCAGAUCACUCAGCAUUUGUACAGAUGGCCCUUUUCGGUGAGAGCGCCGGCGCCAACGUGUCCUCUCGGGUUGUCUUCGGUAUCCUUGUUGCGUGUGCGUGGGUGAUUGGUCUCACCGCUUACGGUAUUCUGUACUGCAUCCGGCGAAAGCAAGCCGCGCGUCAGCAGCAACUAGAGGAGGCUGCACAGGCUGGAGGCGUUCAGUACGGUGGGGCGACAUCGCCCUACGGCGGCCCUUAUGGAGGACCGCCGGUGGUGCAUGGCGCGGUGGUCGCAUAUCAAGAAGCGCCCGCCGCUUCAACUGACUUGGCUGGUGUGCCACCGGCACACCCCGGAUGGGAACUGAGCAACGGCGCUUGGCGUCCCUCUCAACAACCAACUCCUUUGUACCCAGGUGUAGUGGUGGAGCAACAGCAGCAGCCAGGUAAUACCACUGAUGCAGCGAACAUAUACGGCACGGCGUACUACUACACGCAGCCGAACGAACAGCAGACGGCGGGUACGGAACCUGUGAAACCUCUGUGAACAGGGGUAGCGUAGUAAUCCGUGCUGCGUCGGUGAUAUCACUCGGUCUUUCGGAGCUGCUCUUCCUGGUGAUUCUCCGUGGUUCCUGUGCUGUGGCCUGGUUUUUCGCCCCAUCCUACCGCCUCUGUUUGUCAGCGUCUGUGGUGGUGAUGCCGAUGAGCGGCAUUCAUCAUGUAUUUGUCGGCGUAACUGUGCGCGAUGCUUCAGCUGCCUCUCGUUUCGCUGCGACAUACCGCCCCGACGCCCCCCUCCCUCUCCUCUUCCUCCUUUAUUGCCCUUUCCUCACAAG